ACUCAAAUGAAUUGACGGGGACCUGCACAAGCGGUGGAGCGCGUGGUUUAAUUCGUCACAAAGCGGAGAACCUUACCCAGGCUUGACAUCUCUGGAAUUCCCUGGAAACAGGGGAGUGCCGCAAGGAGCCAGAUGACAGGUGCUGCACGGUUGUCGUCAGCUCGUGCUGUGAAGUGUCCCGUUCAGUCGGUUAACGAGCGCAACCCUUACCCUGUGUUAUACAUGUCACAGGGAACUGCCCUAGUUAAUAGGGAGGAAGGUGAGGAUGACGUCAAAUCAGCGUGGCUCUUACGCCUGGGGCCACACACACGCUACAAUGGGAAGUAACAAUGGGUUGCCAAGCCGCGAGGCGGAGCUAAUCCCACCAAACCUUCCCUCAAUUCGGAUUGGAGGCUGCAACUCGCCUCCAUGAAGUCGGAAUCGCUAGUAACGGCCAAUCAGCUACGUGGCCGUGAAUACGUUCUCAGGUCUUGUACACACCGCCCGU
This 487-nucleotide ribosomal RNA is filed under the name uncultured bacterium. Its description in RNAcentral is "partial 16S ribosomal RNA". It matches the Rfam family "Bacterial small subunit ribosomal RNA", at positions 899 to 1397 of the family's 1533-position model. The record is from RNAcentral.